This 1972-nucleotide long non-coding RNA is filed under the name Gossypium barbadense (sea-island cotton). RNAcentral describes it as "long non-coding RNA (GBAR_LNC020517)". The record is from RNAcentral. Lineage: Eukaryota; Viridiplantae; Streptophyta; Magnoliopsida; Malvales; Malvaceae.
CCAUAUUAUAAUUAAAGCCUAAUUUUUUUUUGUAAAAUCAUUUUUUCAAGUAUAAUGUUUUCAUCUAAACCCUAUCAAAUUUCAGAUAAGCCUUCAGGCAUAGACGAAUAGUUCGACCAUUGAACGGCACUAGAUUAAAUUAAUCCUACCAUUCAAUGGAUAAACUUAAUAUUUUUACAAUUAAAAAAUAUCAAAUAAGACCAAAUUGAAAAUUGAAAAAAAGUUAGGCAUUUAUUCUUUAAAAAUAACAAUUUUUAUUCAUAUUUGUAAAAUCAUGAAAAACUAUUAAAAUAUUAAACGUCAUUUUUUAAAUGAUAAAUAUUAAUUCAAUUAAAAUUUUACUUUAUUUAAUUUUUUUAAUAAUAUAAAAACUAAAUUUAUCCAUUUAAUAAUAAAAACACUAAUUUGAUUCUGUAACACCCCUAACCCCAAACUAUCGCCGGAACAGGGUUACGAGGCAUUACCUGACAUAUCAAACAAUUUACAAAUAAUUCUUAAAUAAAUAACCAACAUAUUAAAAUAAUUCAUAAAUACAUAUAAAUUUCACUAAUUGACUCCAUUCAAAUUUUUUUUAUAAAAAUUUCGGCAACAUUUCUACUUAUUUUUACAUAAAACCCCCUGCAAAAUUUCAAAACAUAAACAACCUAAUUCCCGUAUUUCAACCAAGGCAUUUAUAUAUUUAAAUCUUACUUGACAUAUUGACAUAACAACUUAAUUAAUAAAAAUCCUAUUAUCAUUUCUAAUUAACACAUAAAACUAAUCAAGCCAUUUCAAUUUGAUACCAAUACCAUAAAAGACUUCUACCACUUUACUAAUAUAAUCAUCAAAAUACAUAAUAUCUUAAUUUACAACAAAACUAUAUAACAUACCAAAAUAACCAUCAUAAUUCUUAUGUACAUGCCACUUUCAUUUAAGGAAGAAAACAUCACCAAAAUCUCUAUGCAGGAGUCAGGAUUGUCCUGGAUACUGAACCGAGACUCUGACCCCUUUUCAACCUGCGCACGGAAACAACUGUACGCUGAGUAUUGUAUACUCAGUGGUAUUACCAUAAUUCAAAUUAUAAUAGAAAUAAAGAAUUAUAAUUUCCAAGCAUGUAACUCUCCAAUUUCUUAAAUAUCAAUUUAUUCAUAAAUUUUCAUUAUUUGACAAUAACAAUACAAUAUUAAGCUAUUCUUCAAUCUCAAUCACCAAUCAUAAUUUAAAAUUUUAUCAUAUUCAAUACGGCUAUCAAUAUUAGCUACGAACAAUUAAAAUAAUUUCAAAAUCAUUAGCACAAAACAAUUUAAUUGCUGAAAUUUUUAUCUAACUUUUACUUUAAUUCUAAUUUAAUCCUAACUAACCUAUAUAUUUUUCUUUCUCAAUCCAUACCUUUUUACUACUUAAUUUCCUACCAAACUCACAUUUAACUAUCUAAUUUUUAUCAUUAUUUUCAUAAUUUCGAAUUUAUUUCAAUUUAAUCCCUAAAAUUCAAAACUUAUAGUUUAGUUCACAAUUUAAUCCUUUUAUCAACUCUAACUAGAAACUCUAUCAAAUAAGCCAUCAAUUCCAUCAUUUAUUCAACAUAAACCCUACUCAAAAAUCUAUUUACUUUCAAAUUUUCAACUUAAAUCCAAGAGUAUUUCACUCUAGGAUUCCAAAAACAUCAAAUUUAUGAGAAAAUGACUUGAUUUAGCUUACCUAUUAAACUUCAAGCUUCAAAUCCCUAGUUUUCCCUUUUAUUUUUCUUUCCCCUUUCCUUUCUUUCUUUUUCGUCUGUUCUCUGUUUCUUUUUAGCUAUUCUGUUUCUCUUUUUCUAUUCUUUUAUUUCAUUUGUUUUCUUUUAUGCAUAGUUAAUAAUAAUAUAUUAUUAUAAUCAUAUAAUAAUAUUUUAUUCACAAAUAUCUUUUACUUAAAUUAUAAGAAAAUAUUUUAUUUUAUUACAAGUGUGUUUUUUAAUAUUUUACACAUGUAUUAUUUUAUCACCACACAAUUG